This 450-nucleotide ribosomal RNA is filed under the name uncultured prokaryote. RNAcentral describes it as "bacterial SSU rRNA". It matches the Rfam family "Bacterial small subunit ribosomal RNA", at positions 355 to 796 of the family's 1533-position model. The record is from RNAcentral.
UGGGGAAUAUUGGACAAUGGGGGCAACCCUGAUCCAGCCAUGCCGCGUGUGUGAAGAAGGCCUUCGGGUUGUAAAGCACUUUAAGCAGGGAAGAAAAGCCGGCGGCGAAUAACCGACCGGUCUUGACGGUACCUGCAGAAUAAGCACCGGCUAACUCCGUGCCAGCAGCCGCGGUAAUACGGAGGGUGCGAGCGUUAAUCGGAUUCACUGGGCGUAAAGCGUGCGUAGGCGGUCGAGUAUGUCGGAUGUGAAAGCCCCGGGCUUAACCUGGGAAUGGCAUUCGAAACUGCUUGGCUAGAGUGUGGUAGAGGAAGGUGGAAUUCCAGGUGUAGCGGUGAAAUGCGUAGAUAUCUGGAGGAACAUCGAUGGCGAAGGCAACCUUCUGGGCCACAACUGACGCUGAGGUACGAAAGCGUGGGGAGCAAACAGGAUUAGAUACCCCCGUAGUCC